RNAcentral lists this ribosomal RNA (253 nucleotides) under uncultured bacterium. RNAcentral describes it as "partial 16S ribosomal RNA". It matches the Rfam family "Bacterial small subunit ribosomal RNA", at positions 524 to 776 of the family's 1533-position model. The record is from RNAcentral.
UACGUAGGGUGCAAGCGUUGUCCGGAAUUAUUGGGCGUAAAGAGCUCGUAGGCGGCUUGUCGCGUCUGCUGUGAAAACCCGAGGCUCAACUUCGGGCUUGCAGUGGGUACGGGCAGGCUAGAGUGUGGUAGGGGAGAUUGGAAUUCCUGGUGUAGCGGUGGAAUGCGCAGAUAUCAGGAGGAACACCGAUGGCGAAGGCAGAUCUCUGGGCCACUACUGACGCUGAGGAGCGAAAGCAUGGGGAGCGAACAGG